RNAcentral lists this long non-coding RNA (446 nucleotides) under Setaria viridis. Its description in RNAcentral is "long non-coding RNA (SVIR_LNC010385)". Lineage: Eukaryota; Viridiplantae; Streptophyta; Magnoliopsida; Poales; Poaceae. The record is from RNAcentral.
GGGCGAAAAGAACUUGGGGUACCUUAGGGAAGAGGAGAGAAAAGCCUUCAAUGAAAAUCCAAAAGCACCACGUGAAUCCCCUUUACGCAAUGAGUCUUUCUUGAUGAUCUCGAGGAGUUUUGAUGGUGGAAUAUCCAAAUCACCCUGGGGGGCGGAUGGAGAAACAGGAGGAGAGAGAGUCCCGGUGGUAAAAAGAAAAAUGAACAUGUAACUUCCUCGGGGUAAAUAUAAAUACCCACAAAGUUUCAAAAAUUUUCGGAAAAAGUUUCGAAAUGUUCUGCAACUUCCAGAAAUUUUCAAAAAAGUUUCGAAAUUUUUCGCACAUUCAGAAUUUUCCGAAAAAAUUUCCGGAAAAGUCCGCUCCCGUGGCUAAUUGCCAUUAGAUUUAAGUGGAAUUUGAUAUGGGAUAGAUUUGGAUGACUAUGGCAGUGAAAUCUAUAUGAGCA